RNAcentral lists this ribosomal RNA (460 nucleotides) under uncultured bacterium. Its description in RNAcentral is "partial 16S ribosomal RNA". It matches the Rfam family "Bacterial small subunit ribosomal RNA", at positions 338 to 795 of the family's 1533-position model. The record is from RNAcentral.
CCUACGGGUGGCAGCAGUGAGGAAUAUUGGUCAAUGGACGCAAGUCUGAACCAGCCAUGCCGCGUGCAGGAAGACGGCUCUAUGAGUUGUAAACUGCUUUUGUACGAGGGUAAACGCAGAUACGCGUAUCUGUAUGAAAGUAUCGUACGAAUAAGGAUCGGCUAACUCCGUGCCAGCAGCCGCGGUAAUACGGAGGAUUCAAGCGUUAUCCGGAUUUAUUGGGUUUAAAGGGUGCGUAGACGGUCGGCUAAGUUAGAUGUGAAAUCCCGAGGCUCAACUUUGGAAUUGCCUCUGAUACUGGUCGGCUAGAGAGUAGUUGCGGUAGGCGGAAUGUAUGGUGUAGCGGUGAAAUGCUUAGAGAUCAUAAAGAACACCGAUUGCGAAGGCAGCUUACUAAGCUACUUCUGACGUUGAGGCACGAAAGCGUGGGUAGCAAACAGGAUUAGAUACCCUGGUAGUC